RNAcentral lists this ribosomal RNA (1043 nucleotides) under uncultured archaeon. Its description in RNAcentral is "bacterial SSU rRNA". It matches the Rfam family "Archaeal small subunit ribosomal RNA", at positions 1 to 1054 of the family's 1478-position model. The record is from RNAcentral.
UCCGGUUGAUCCUGGCGGAGGCCACUGCUAUCGGAGUUCGAUUAAGCCAUGCGAGUCGAGAGGUGCAAGACCUCGGCAUACUGCUCAGUAACACGUGGACAACCUACCCUAUGGAGGGGGAUAACCCCGGGAAACUGGGGAUAAUACCCCAUAGACUAUGGAUGCUGGAAUGCUUUGUAGUUGAAAGGUCCGCCGCCAUAGGAUGGGUCUGCGGCCGAUUAGGUUGUUGUUGGGGUAACGGCCCAACAAGCCUGUAAUCGGUACGGGUUGUGGGAGCAAGAGCCCGGAGAUGGAUUCUGAGACACGAAUCCAGGCCCUACGGGGCGCAGCAGGCGCGAAAACUUUACAAUGCGGGAAACCGUGAUAAGGGAACUCCGAGUGCCCGUAAAAUCGGGCUGUCCAUCUGUUUAAAUAACAGGUGAAGAAAGGGCCGGGCAAGACCGGUGCCAGCCGCCGCGGUAAUACCGGCGGCUCGAGUGGUGGCCACUAUUACUGGGCUUAAAGCGUUCGUAGCUGGUCUGUUAAGUCUCUGGGGAAAUCUACUGGCUUAACCAAUAGGCGUUUCAGGGAUACUGGCAGACUAGGGACCGGGAGAGGUGAGGGGUACUCCAGGGGUAGGAGUGAAAUCCUGUAAUCCUUGGGGGACCACCUGUGGCGAAGGCGCCUCACCAGAACGGCUCCGACAGUGAGGGACGAAAGCUGGGGGAGCAAACCGGAUUAGAUACCCGGGUAGUCCCAGCCGUAAACGAUGCGCGUUAGGUGUAUCGGUGACCACGAGUCACCGAGGUGCCGAAGAGAAAUCGUGAAACGUGCCGCCUGGGAAGUACGGUCGCAAGGCUGAAACUUAAAGGAAUUGGCGGGGGAGCACCACAACAGGUGGAGCCUGCGGUUUAAUCGGACUCAACGCCGGAAAUCUCACCGGAUAAGACAGCUGUAUGAUAGUCGGGCUGAAGACUCUACUUGACUAGCUGAGAGGAGGUGCAUGGCCGUCGUCAGUUCGUACUGUGAAGCAUCCUGUUAAGUCAGGCAACGAGCGAGACCCA